RNAcentral lists this long non-coding RNA (377 nucleotides) under Jatropha curcas. RNAcentral describes it as "long non-coding RNA (JCUR_LNC003071)". Lineage: Eukaryota; Viridiplantae; Streptophyta; Magnoliopsida; Malpighiales; Euphorbiaceae. The record is from RNAcentral.
ACUCGCAAGAUCGGGCAGUUAGGCUUCGCAAGCACGACGGAAGUUCUGGUAAACGUCCAAGACUUCGACAAUUAUUUAUACUGAGUGUAACGAGUCCUGAAGGUAUGAUGGUUUCAGGUAUGCUCUUAAAGCUCCUUUCACUUAGAUCUAAAGUCCUUAAGUUGCAGUUUGAACUCAAGUUCAGUUUCUCAAUAUUUAGAUUUUUGCUCAAACUAAAUUUCUUCAGUUUCGAGAACAACCCAAUUGGUGUGAGUAUUUCUUCUAUUGCAGUUCCGCGCAGGUCUAAAUCUUCUAUAGUGUCUGGAAGUUGAGCAAACUGGUUGAUUUUUGAGCAAUAGCAAAGGAAAAGCAUCUUAAGAGACAUUGGACACUUCGGA